RNAcentral lists this ribosomal RNA (497 nucleotides) under uncultured bacterium. Its description in RNAcentral is "partial 16S ribosomal RNA". It matches the Rfam family "Bacterial small subunit ribosomal RNA", at positions 28 to 507 of the family's 1533-position model. The record is from RNAcentral.
GAUGAACGCUGGCGGCGUGCGUAAUACAUGCAAGUCGAGCGAACAGACGAGGAGCUUGCUCCUCUGACGUUAGCGGCGGACGGGUGAGUAACACGUGGAUAACCUACCUAUAAGACUGGGAUAACUUCGGGAAACCGGAGCUAAUACCGGAUAAUAUAUUGAACCGCAUGGUUCAAUAGUGAAAGACGGUUUUGCUGUCACUUAUAGAUGGAUCCGCGCCGCAUUAGCUAGUUGGUAAGGUAACGGCUUACCAAGGCAACGAUGCGUAGCCGACCUGAGAGGGUGAUCGGCCACACUGGAACUGAGACACGGUCCAGACUCCUACGGGAGGCAGCAGUAGGGAAUCUUCCGCAAUGGGCGAAAGCCUGACGGAGCAACGCCGCGUGAGUGAUGAAGGUCUUCGGAUCGUAAAACUCUGUUAUUAGGGAAGAACAAAUGUGUAAGUAACUAUGCACGUCUUGACGGUACCUAAUCAGAAAGCCACGGCUAACUACGUG